Molecule: ribosomal RNA, 870 nt
Filed under: uncultured bacterium
Lineage: Bacteria
Description: bacterial SSU rRNA
Rfam family: Bacterial small subunit ribosomal RNA
Source: RNAcentral
GAUGAACGCUAGCGGCAGGCUUAACACAUGCAAGUCGAGGGGCAGCAAGGGUAGCAAUACCUGUUGGCGACCGGCAAACGGGUGCGGAACACGUACAGAACCUACCUUUACCUGGGGCAUAGCCCGGAGAAAUCCGGAUUAACUCCCCAUAACAUAUAUGAGUGGCAUCACUUGAAUAUUAAAAAUUUAUUGGGUAAAGAUGGCUGUGCGUCCCAUUAGCUAGUUGGUAGGGUAACGGCCUACCAAGGCGACGAUGGGUAGCUGGUGUGAGAGCACAACCAGCCACACGGGCACUGAGACACAGGCCCGACUCCUACGGGAGGCAGCAGUGAGGAAUAUUGGUCAAUGGACGCAAGUCUGAACCAGCCAUGCCGCGUGAAGGAUGAAGGCCUUCUGGGUUGUAAACUUCUUUUACCUGGGAAGAAACCCCUUAUUUCUAUGAGGGUUGACGGUACCAGAGGAAUAAGCACCGGCUAACUCCGUGCCAGCAGCCGCGGUAAUACGGAGGGUGCAAGCGUUAUCCGGAUUUACUGGGUUUAAAGGGUGUGUAGGCGGGCUUUUAAGUCAGUGGUGAAAUCUCCGGGCUCAACCCGGAAACUGCCAUUGAUACUAUUAGUCUUGAAUUUUGUUGAGGUAGGCGGAAUAAGUCAUGUAGCGGUGAAAUGCAUAGAUAUGACUUAGAACACCAAUUGCGAAGGCAGCUUGCUAAACAAAUAUUGACGCUGAGGCACGAAAGCGUGGGGAUCAAACAGGAUUAGAUACCCUGGUAGUCCACGCCCUAAACGAUGAUUACCCGACAUACGCGAUACACAGUGUGUGUCUGAGCGAAAGCAUUAAGUAAUCCACCUGGGAAGUACGACCGCAAGGUUG